GGACGAGCCUCUGGAGAGACUACCGAUUGCAUUAACUUGCAAUAAUAGGUGGCGCCGAAGGCGAAAGUGUCGCUGUGUUGUUAAGCGACGCGAAACGCUCAGGCAAAAGGACAGAGGAGAGGAU
Molecule: non-coding RNA, 124 nt
Filed under: Shewanella oneidensis
Lineage: Bacteria; Pseudomonadati; Pseudomonadota; Gammaproteobacteria; Alteromonadales; Shewanellaceae
Also listed under: 1 other name
Description: Glycine sequence
Rfam family: Glycine riboswitch aptamer
About the family: This family represents the bacterial glycine riboswitch. Glycine riboswitches usually consist of two metabolite-binding aptamers domains with similar structures in tandem.
Source: RNAcentral